CAGUAGCCGCGGGAAUACGUAGGUGGCAAGCGUUGUCCGGAAUUAUUGGGCGUAAAGGGCUCGCAGGCGGUUUCUUAAGUCUGAUGUGAAAGCCCCCGGCUCAACCGGGGAGGGUCAUUGGAAACUGGGAAACUUGAGUGCAGAAGAGGAGAGUGGAAUUCCACGUGUAGCGGUGAAAUGCGUAGAGAUGUGGAGGAACACCAGUGGCGAAGGCGACUCUCUGGUCUGUAACUGACGCUGAGGAGCGAAAGCGUGGGGAGCGAACAGGAUUAGAUACCCGAGUAGUCCCUGUCUCUUAUAU
RNAcentral lists this ribosomal RNA (301 nucleotides) under uncultured bacterium. RNAcentral describes it as "partial 16S ribosomal RNA". It matches the Rfam family "Bacterial small subunit ribosomal RNA", at positions 509 to 809 of the family's 1533-position model. The record is from RNAcentral.